AAACAGGCUCUUUUAAGAGUCACCCAUAUUGAAAACAAUGUGAAC
Salmo salar (Atlantic salmon) is the source of this 45-nucleotide non-coding RNA. NCBI's taxonomy places the organism in Eukaryota, Metazoa, Chordata, Actinopteri, Salmoniformes, Salmonidae. The record is from Rfam.